UCUCCGUAGGUGAACCUGCGGAGGGAUCAUUACAGAGUUCACGCCCUACCGGGUAAAUCUCCCCCCCCCUGUUAUUAUUACAUUGUUGCUUUUGCGGCACGCUGGGCUCCGGCCCGGCUACCGGCCCCGGCUGGUAAGCUCCCGCCAAAUCACCCAAAACAUUGAAUUUUCGUCUCGGUUGAAUACAAUAUAAUAAAUAAAACUUUCAACAACGGUUCUCUUUGGUCUGGCAUUGGUGAAGAACGCAGCAGACCGGCACACCUCUGGUCUGCACUCCAC
This 279-nucleotide unclassified non-coding RNA is filed under the name plant metagenome. Its description in RNAcentral is "partial contains small subunit ribosomal RNA, internal transcribed spacer 1, and 5.8S ribosomal RNA". The record is from RNAcentral.